RNAcentral lists this long non-coding RNA (406 nucleotides) under Vulpes vulpes (red fox). RNAcentral's name for it is "lncRNA (ENSVVUG00000014053.1)". The record is from RNAcentral. Lineage: Eukaryota; Metazoa; Chordata; Mammalia; Carnivora; Canidae.
AUUUUAUCACUCUUCUAUUCUGAAGCAUGGAUUAAUUGUGCAAGAUCAGGGUGGGAGAAAAAUCAUGACAGAUGAUACAGCCCUGUGCUCCAACUAUUGGCAAGAACAAUGUUUGGGGCCUUGGCGGAACUGGGCCAUAUGAACUCACAUCCAUACACCACUGGGCUAAAGUUCUUCAUAAGAGGAAUGGAUGAGAAGAUGGAGACAGAGCUGCAUGGGAAACAAAGGAGACUUGAAAUGGAAAUUAUUUAGAUUCCACACUUCAAGGCCAGACUUCUGACAAUAAUCCAAAAUCCAUUCAACAUGAAUUUACUGAGCAUCUACUGUGUGCUAGGUGCUGGGAUCUAAAAGAAACACAAGGCAAAGUCCAGGUAACUCAAGUAGAUUCAAGGGCAAAAGUUAAAUU